Molecule: ribosomal RNA, 1544 nt
Filed under: Klebsiella pneumoniae subsp. pneumoniae MGH 78578
Lineage: Bacteria; Pseudomonadati; Pseudomonadota; Gammaproteobacteria; Enterobacterales; Enterobacteriaceae
Description: bacterial SSU rRNA
Rfam family: Bacterial small subunit ribosomal RNA
Source: RNAcentral
AAUUGAAGAGUUUGAUCAUGGCUCAGAUUGAACGCUGGCGGCAGGCCUAACACAUGCAAGUCGAGCGGUAGCACAGAGAGCUUGCUCUCGGGUGACGAGCGGCGGACGGGUGAGUAAUGUCUGGGAAACUGCCUGAUGGAGGGGGAUAACUACUGGAAACGGUAGCUAAUACCGCAUAACGUCGCAAGACCAAAGUGGGGGACCUUCGGGCCUCAUGCCAUCAGAUGUGCCCAGAUGGGAUUAGCUAGUAGGUGGGGUAACGGCUCACCUAGGCGACGAUCCCUAGCUGGUCUGAGAGGAUGACCAGCCACACUGGAACUGAGACACGGUCCAGACUCCUACGGGAGGCAGCAGUGGGGAAUAUUGCACAAUGGGCGCAAGCCUGAUGCAGCCAUGCCGCGUGUGUGAAGAAGGCCUUCGGGUUGUAAAGCACUUUCAGCGGGGAGGAAGGCGUUAAGGUUAAUAACCUUGGCGAUUGACGUUACCCGCAGAAGAAGCACCGGCUAACUCCGUGCCAGCAGCCGCGGUAAUACGGAGGGUGCAAGCGUUAAUCGGAAUUACUGGGCGUAAAGCGCACGCAGGCGGUCUGUCAAGUCGGAUGUGAAAUCCCCGGGCUCAACCUGGGAACUGCAUUCGAAACUGGCAGGCUAGAGUCUUGUAGAGGGGGGUAGAAUUCCAGGUGUAGCGGUGAAAUGCGUAGAGAUCUGGAGGAAUACCGGUGGCGAAGGCGGCCCCCUGGACAAAGACUGACGCUCAGGUGCGAAAGCGUGGGGAGCAAACAGGAUUAGAUACCCUGGUAGUCCACGCCGUAAACGAUGUCGAUUUGGAGGUUGUGCCCUUGAGGCGUGGCUUCCGGAGCUAACGCGUUAAAUCGACCGCCUGGGGAGUACGGCCGCAAGGUUAAAACUCAAAUGAAUUGACGGGGGCCCGCACAAGCGGUGGAGCAUGUGGUUUAAUUCGAUGCAACGCGAAGAACCUUACCUGGUCUUGACAUCCACAGAACUUUCCAGAGAUGGAUUGGUGCCUUCGGGAACUGUGAGACAGGUGCUGCAUGGCUGUCGUCAGCUCGUGUUGUGAAAUGUUGGGUUAAGUCCCGCAACGAGCGCAACCCUUAUCCUUUGUUGCCAGCGGUUAGGCCGGGAACUCAAAGGAGACUGCCAGUGAUAAACUGGAGGAAGGUGGGGAUGACGUCAAGUCAUCAUGGCCCUUACGACCAGGGCUACACACGUGCUACAAUGGCAUAUACAAAGAGAAGCGACCUCGCGAGAGCAAGCGGACCUCAUAAAGUAUGUCGUAGUCCGGAUUGGAGUCUGCAACUCGACUCCAUGAAGUCGGAAUCGCUAGUAAUCGUAGAUCAGAAUGCUACGGUGAAUACGUUCCCGGGCCUUGUACACACCGCCCGUCACACCAUGGGAGUGGGUUGCAAAAGAAGUAGGUAGCUUAACCUUCGGGAGGGCGCUUACCACUUUGUGAUUCAUGACUGGGGUGAAGUCGUAACAAGGUAACCGUAGGGGAACCUGCGGUUGGAUCACCUCCUUACCUUA